GCUCAGCUUCCAGCUUAAAAAAGACUGGACAGUACUUUUACUGUUUUCCCUCCUUAGAAUUAGAGCCUGUCCUUGAAAAGUUACAGGGUAUAGUCCAUUUGAACUUUUAUAUGGACGUACUUUCCUGUUGGGCCCCAACCUCAUGCCAGACACCAGCCCUCUAGGCGACUAUCUUCCAGUCCUCCAGCAGGCUAGACCACUCAAAGCAGCCCUGAGAAACGUAGCCCAUCACCCCUCCAUACCGCCCCAAAAUUUUCACCGCAAGUUUUCACUACUCUUUCUCAUUUUAUUUCUUCAUUAUUAACAUAAAAAGACAGGAACGUAAGGUCCUCUGAGCUGGCCGCACCAUGGUCAAGCCAUAGUGACAACCCCCCCACAAUCCCCCUGGUCCCGGGCGUUGUGAUAAUGUUCUUUGUGAUACUCCCCCAUCCUUGUGAAUGUACUUUGUAAAUUCCUCCUCGCCCUUGUGACAAUACACCCUCCCCACCCUUGUGAAUGUACUUUGUAGGAUGCACC
RNAcentral lists this long non-coding RNA (516 nucleotides) under Pan troglodytes (chimpanzee). Its description in RNAcentral is "long non-coding RNA NONPTRT012442". Lineage: Eukaryota; Metazoa; Chordata; Mammalia; Primates; Hominidae. The record is from RNAcentral.